RNAcentral lists this long non-coding RNA (1331 nucleotides) under Bos indicus x Bos taurus (hybrid cattle). RNAcentral's name for it is "lncRNA (ENSBIXG00005009719.1)". The record is from RNAcentral. Lineage: Eukaryota; Metazoa; Chordata; Mammalia; Artiodactyla; Bovidae.
AUUUCUGAGCUUUGGGAAAAGUCGACAUCCCUGAUUUGAAGAGCAUAACAGUUCAUUCUUUAACGAUGUUAUUUUGUGUUGUGGUAUUAGUUUUAUACUGUGUUACAUGUUCACGUAUAACCUAGACAUCUUUUACAAAAUUUUCAAGUUGACAAGCACAUGUGGCAGGAUGUUUUGUCUCCUCCUUCUCCUGCCGUGUCUAGGUCAUCCAGACACGUACCCACCCUGGGGCAGGUCAGAGGAGCGCUCCUUGGCUACCCAGGAAGAGGCAGGAAUAGAACCACUGGAGACGGGGGAAACAAAGUGUAUGCCACGAAGAUACUGCCGGUGAGAAACAGAAAGUGACAAUUUUCAAAGUCAUUUUAGACCAGACCCAUUUGCUUGUAUGGAUGUGUGUGUGUUUACAACAGCCAUGCUCCCCCCGGCAAAGUAAAAUACACUGGAAAUGGGGGAGUAUGGCGUAGGGUGGGGUGAAGAAGAACGUGGCAAUGUUUUCAGUUCCUGAAUAACAGUCCCCGACUCGCCAGUGAGACACUGGACCACAGGCAGGAUGAAUGUUUGGGUCUGGACAACUGACUCCGUUGGUUGAUUUUUGCUACCUUGGCCCAAACAAGCAUGUCCACUAUCUUUCUUCUUGCUCCUGAAUCUCAGCGUGAUCAAGUAUCAAGAGACAAGCAAGCAGCCAAAUGGAGCAAAGAGAAGAGCAAUCAUUGCAAAGAAUUCCUGUGGGGUUCACUGGGGUUUUCAGAAAGUAAGGGAUGCUCAUGGUUGUGAGUGGACGUCCGACUUACCUGCUGUAGGUGAAGGUGGUUCUUCCUACAGAACGCUCUCUCCAGAAAGACAUCCCCUCUCUGGGACGUGAGGUGGAGUAGAAGGACUAACCAUCUAAAAUUGUCAGCUAUGUCAUUUCUUUUCAGCAUUAACUCAUUUCAGCCUGAAAAUCUUGACAAUGCAAAUUUGUUCUCCAGCGGGGGAGAGAGAAUGGGAGAAAGAAACAAUAUUCCUGCCUUUAAUCUGGUGAGAAUAAUCAGGAAGGAUGGGUGAGAGGCACCACGCGUUCUGUGCUGUGCUUUUGAAAAGAGAACAAAACACCAUGUCCAGAGAUAAAUUGUCAUCGUCUGAAGCUCCAGUUUUCUUACAAAUUCUUAAGGAAAUGUUGCCCCCUUCUGGACAAAAGGUACAAUAGACAGCCGCCACAGCCUUGCCAUCCAACCUGUUUAUAAACUCAUCUACCUGCGUUAGUCAGGAAGGGUUUUGCUCUGCUGUCUUUUCUGUCACUAUGCCUAGACAACACUAAUUCACUUUUAAAAAGUCACUAUACCAGCACGAAU